UGGGGGAUAUUGCACAAUGGGCGAAAGCCUGAUGCAGCGACGCCGCGUGGGGGAUGAAGGCCUUCGGGUUGUAAACUUCUUUUGCUCUGAACAAGGCGCACCAUGGGGUGUGUUGAGUGUAGGGGUUGAUUAGCGCCGGCUAACUACGUGCCAGCAGCCGCGGUAAUACGUAGGGCGCGAGCGUUGUCCGGAAUUAUUGGGCGUAAAGGGCUUGUAGGUGGCUGGUUGCGUCUGUCGUGAAAGCUCAUGGCUUAACUGUGCGUUUGCGGUGGGUACGGGCUGGCUUGAGUGCAGUAGGGGAGGCUGGAAUUCCUGGUGUAGCGGUGGAAUGCGCAGAUAUCAGGAGGAAUACCGGUGGCGAAGGCGGGUCUCUGGGCUGUUACUGACACUGAGGAGCGAAAGCAUGGGGAGCGAACAGG
RNAcentral lists this ribosomal RNA (419 nucleotides) under bacterium. RNAcentral describes it as "partial 16S ribosomal RNA". It matches the Rfam family "Bacterial small subunit ribosomal RNA", at positions 355 to 776 of the family's 1533-position model. The record is from RNAcentral.